GAUGAAGAACGCAGCGAAAUGCGAUAACUAAUGUGAAUUGCAGAAUUCAGUGAAUCAUCGAGUCUUUGAACGCACAUUGCGCCCCCUGGUAUUCCGGGGGGCAUGCCUGUCCGAGCGUCAUUGCUGCCCUCAAGCACGGCUUGUGUGUUGGGCUCCGUCCCCCCGGGGACGGGUCCGAAAGGCAGCGGCGGCACCGAGUCCGGUCCUCGAGCGUAUGGGGCUUUGUCACCCGCUCUGUAGGCCCGGCCGGCGCCAGCCGACAACCAAUCAUCCUUUUUUCAGGUUGACCUCGGAUCAGGUAGGGAUACCCACUGAACUUAAGCAUAUCAAUAAGCGGAGGA
RNAcentral lists this unclassified non-coding RNA (341 nucleotides) under soil metagenome. Its description in RNAcentral is "partial contains 5.8S ribosomal RNA, internal transcribed spacer 2, and large subunit ribosomal RNA". The stretch from base 1 to 120 matches the Rfam family "5.8S ribosomal RNA", at positions 35 to 154 of the family's 154-position model. The record is from RNAcentral.